Molecule: ribosomal RNA, 468 nt
Filed under: uncultured bacterium
Lineage: Bacteria
Description: partial 16S ribosomal RNA
Rfam family: Bacterial small subunit ribosomal RNA
Source: RNAcentral
GACGAACGCUGGCGGCGUGCUUAACACAUGCAAGUCGAACGGAAAGGCCCUGCUUUUGUGGGGUGCUCGAGUGGCGAACGGGUGAGUAACACGUGAGUAACCUGCCCUUGACUUUGGGAUAACUUCAGGAAACUGGGGCUAAUACCGGAUAGGAGCUCCUGCUGCAUGGUGGGGGUUGGAAAGUUUCGGCGGUUGGGGAUGGACUCGCGGCUUAUCAGCUUGUUGGUGGGGUAGUGGCUUACCAAGGCUUUGACGGGUAGCCGGCCUGAGAGGGUGACCGGCCACAGUGGGACUGAGGUACGGCCCAGACUCCUACGGGAGGCAGCAGUGGGGAAUAGUGCACAAUGGGCGGAAGCCUGAUGCAGCAACGCCGCGUGCGGGAUGACGGCCUUCGGGGUGUAAACCGCUUUCGCCUGUGACGAAGCGUGAGUGACGGUAAUGGGUAAAGAAGCACCGGCUAACUACGUG